GACGAACGCUGGCGGCAUGCCUAACACAUGCAAGUCGAGCGAGUUGAUCCCUUCGGGGUGAAGCUAGCGGCGGACGGGUGAGUAACACGUGGGCAACCUGCCUCACAGAGGGGAAUAGCCUUCCGAAAGGAAGAUUAAUACCGCAUAAGAUUGUAGCUUCGCAUGAAGCAGCAAUUAAAGGAGCAAUCCGCUAUGAGAUGGGCCCGCGGCGCGUUAGCUAGUUGGUGAGGUAACGGCUCACCAAGGCGACGAUGAGUAGCCGACCUGAGAGGGUGAUCGGCCACAUUGGGACUGAGACACGGCCCAGACUCCUACGGGAGGCAGCAGUGGGGAAUAUUGCACAAUGGGGGAAACCCGGAUGCAGCAAUGCCGCGUGAGUGAUGACGGCCUUCGGGUUGUAAAGCUCUGUCUUCGGGGACGAUAAUGACGGUACCCGAGGAGGAAGCCACGGCUAACUACGUGCCAGCCGCCGCCGUAA
This 478-nucleotide ribosomal RNA is filed under the name uncultured bacterium. RNAcentral's name for it is "partial 16S ribosomal RNA". It matches the Rfam family "Bacterial small subunit ribosomal RNA", at positions 28 to 523 of the family's 1533-position model. The record is from RNAcentral.